Molecule: ribosomal RNA, 440 nt
Filed under: uncultured bacterium
Lineage: Bacteria
Description: partial 16S ribosomal RNA
Rfam family: Bacterial small subunit ribosomal RNA
Source: RNAcentral
CCUACGGGUGACUGCAGUGGUGAAUAUUGCACAAUGGGGGAAACCCUGAUGCAGCGACGCCGCGUGAGUGAUGAAGUAAUUCGUUAUGUAAAGCUCUAUCAGCAGGGCAGAAAAUGACGGUACCUGAGUAAGAAGCCCCGGCUAACUACGUGCCAGCAGCCGCGGUAAUACGGAGGGGGCAAGCGUUAUCCGGAUUUACUGGGUGUAAAGGGAGCGUAGACGGGAUUGCAAGUCUGGAGUGAAAGGCGGGGGCUUAACCACCGGACUGCUAUUGAAACUGUACGGCUGGAGUGCAGGAGAGGUAAGUGGAAUUCUUGGUGUAGGGGUGAAAUGCGUAGAGAUUAGGAGGAACACUCGUUGCGAAGGCGACUUACUGGACUGUAACUGACGUUGAGGCUCGAAAGCGUGGGGAGCAAACAGGAUUAGAUACCCGAGUAGUC